AAUCCAUAGGUUAAUGAGGCGAACCGGGGGAACUGAAACAUCUAAGUACCCCGAGGAAAAGAAAUCAACCGAGAUUCCCCCAGUAGCGGCGAGCGAACGGGGAGGAGCCCAGAGCCUGAAUCAGCAUGUGUGUUAGUGGAAGCGUCUGGAAAGGCGCGCGAUACAGGGUGACAGCCCCGUACACAAAAGCGCAUGUGCUGUGAGCUCGAUGAGUAGGGCGGGACACGUGGUAUCCUGUCUGAAUAUGGGGGGACCAUCCUCCAAGGCUAAAUACUCCUGACUGACCGAUAGUGAACCAGUACCGUGAGGGAAAGGCGAAAAGAACCCCGGCGAGGGGAGUGAAAAAGAACCUGAAACCGUGUACGUACAAGCAGUGGGAGCCCCACCACCAAAGCAUUUGCUGUACCGCGUUGACGGAGCGAAGCGACGUCAAACCGAUAAAACAGCAGUGUAAAGUGAGCCGCAGGGCGCUUUGCGCGACAGCGCAAAGGCAGGCGGUUUCGCGUAGCGAAAGCGAAUGCUUUGGGGUGGGGUGACUGCGUACCUUUUGUAUAAUGGGUCAGCGACUUAUAUUCUGUAGCAAGGUUAACCGAAUAGGGGAGCCG
This 605-nucleotide ribosomal RNA is filed under the name Salmonella enterica subsp. enterica serovar Enteritidis. RNAcentral's name for it is "partial 23S ribosomal RNA". It matches the Rfam family "Bacterial large subunit ribosomal RNA", at positions 161 to 668 of the family's 2925-position model. The record is from RNAcentral. Lineage: Bacteria; Pseudomonadati; Pseudomonadota; Gammaproteobacteria; Enterobacterales; Enterobacteriaceae.